This 381-nucleotide ribosomal RNA is filed under the name Triticum aestivum (bread wheat). RNAcentral describes it as "partial small subunit ribosomal RNA". The record is from RNAcentral. Lineage: Eukaryota; Viridiplantae; Streptophyta; Magnoliopsida; Poales; Poaceae.
GUCGUUGAGAAGUUUCUUCACGCUAGGGUGGCGUCCUACCGGAACAAAAGCACUGCAAUCGAACUGUGUUUUGAGCUUAUCAUAUACUGCUUUGGCAAGAGUUGUCUUGCCAAGGCCUCCGAAUCCAAAAAUAGAGAUUGCCUUUAGUUGCUUGGACACAUCACCAUCCCCGUCACUCAGCAUCUUGGUUAGCUCAUUCAAUGAAUCAUCAAUGCCAACGAGCUCUUUUUGGUCCUUGUACAGAGCCAACAGGCGAGGGUCGGCCGUGGUUGCAACAUUUGGAUUAGCAACCACCUCGUGGACCCUGUACCGGUCACGCCGGUCAGCCGCCUCCUGAACACUGACCUUAAUACUUUUGAUCUCGUUGCCGAUGGCAUGGCG